RNAcentral lists this long non-coding RNA (2387 nucleotides) under Ananas comosus (pineapple). Its description in RNAcentral is "long non-coding RNA (ACOM_LNC000625)". The record is from RNAcentral. Lineage: Eukaryota; Viridiplantae; Streptophyta; Magnoliopsida; Poales; Bromeliaceae.
CAUCCUAUACUUUAAAGGGUAUGACAUUGUAUUUACAAUCAAACACUAAGUUACACUAGGUUUUGCUAGGUAUGACAAAACUCGCACAACUGCUCUGUUUAAUAAGUUAAAAUUUUUCCUGCAACUAACUUGGGUGACAUGGAAUGUGGUUACCUGCAUGGUAAGAAGCUCAUUACGAUGAGUUCCAAUUCACCAGUCAUCAUUGGCCUGCAUCAGGAGGUUGCUGAGCAUGGACUGCAGCUUGUCGCCUCUGACGUUCCCGCAAGUAAAGAACAGUCAAGAGGCAAGCAAAGAGGGUUAAUAUUGUUGCAUUGCCUUCGUCAAGGAUUACAUCCUCCACCCAUUCCUCGAUCCUUGGGUAAACCUCCGGAAGUGAAUCGAUCAGAUUAACCUGCUUAAUGGUGAGAAAUUCUUUAUGUUUUCUACCAAAAAAAUCAAGGAUAGAUUGCACCAGGGUUCCUCAACCUUUCUGUAGCUUCAGUUUGGCCACAACCUUUUAUUGUCAUAAUUCAGUCCCUAACUCUCACAAAGCAAUCUUACCGGGCUUUUUUUGCAUUUAGCCCCCUAAAAAAAAUUUAUUUUAAAAAUAGCCCCAGCAAAUUAUAUUUGCACUUUUGGCCCUCAUCCUGCCACGCAGACGCCACGUCAGCGCCACGCGAGCAGGGCUGGGCCAAGGUGUUAAGUUGAACACGGUUAACCAUUCACCGUAUCCAAACACGGUAAAUGAUUUACAGCGUCUAGAGAAAAUACAAAUAUAUGUAUUUUUCGCAAUAUAAAUAUUAAAAAGAGGAAGAGGGAGUAGGGAUGUCAAUGGGUAUGGAUACCCGAAAUAUUAUCCGAGCCCAAACCCGAAUAAAUUAUUUAUAUACAUAAUUUAUUUUUAUUUAUUUAUACAAUAUAUAAAAUAUUUAAUAAUUUUUAUCCCUUAGAUUUUCAUCCAACGGUAUGAAUUUUUAAAACCCGUUGGGUUCGGGUUUCGGGUUUUUGGUCGGGUAUGGAUAUGGGUAUGGAUUUUUAAAACCCAUCGGGUUCGGAUCCGAGUUCAUAUUUUAAUUUGAUUUUCAAGUUCGGGUUCGGGUUUUUGAAAAGGAGAAGAAGAGGAAUAUAAAUAUGAAACACGGUGAACCAUUCACCGUGUUUGAACACGGUGAACCAUUCACCGUGUUUGAACACGGUGAACCAUUCACCGUGUUCAACUUGCCAAACAGGCUCCCAGCCCGCCCACAUGGCGCUUGCGUGGCAGGGAUAGGGCCAUUUUUGCAAUUAUAAAUUUGUUGGGGCUCGUUUUAAAAUAAAAUUUUUCUAGGGGGCCAUUUGCAAAAAAAGCCCAAUCUUACCCUUUUAAUUGAAUUCCUCCAUCAUAUUAUAUUAGACAGAGAUACACAAUCACUAAAUACAAACAUAAGAACAUUUGAGCUUCUAGCAGUUAGUGGGCAUUUCCAUCCAAUUUAACCACAGAAGUCAAUAAAAGGACUUACUAUUAAAUAUUAAGGAUAGAAACCAAAUUGUGGCAAUUGAUAGGUUGAUAACCUAGGUGAGAACUCCUAGAAAAAGUUGAGGACCCUGGUGGAUCUCACCAAAGACUUUAAAAGUCGAAUUAGAAGAAUUAGAAGGCUACUUGACCUGUAGAUAGACGCAAACUUAUUGAAGAUUGUUAACAACAUUACAUGAUCUAUUGCAACAGACUGAAACAGAUGAACAACAACCUAAUUUUACUUGGCAAAAUAAAUUUCAAGUUUUAAGAUUGGAAAUAAGUUGUAAAUAAUAGUACAUUAUGUUCCAGCUUUAAAAACUAAAUCGUUUAUUCUACGUUUAUUCUAUGAAUCAUGAUUUGUCUAGAAAGUACCACAGCAAACAUCUCAAAACCAGAAUUAGCAGGACAUUUAGCCAAUAACUUUAUUCUUAACUCGGUACUUUUAAGAUAGCUCUUUUCAGUGAUACUACAUUAGCCAAGAUACAUGCGGCUUACUAUGGCAGCACUGCUAUUUUCUUCAUUCACUAUAUACAAAUUAUCCAAGUAUUGUAAUUAAAGGCCAACAACAUACAUACAAUUUAAACAAGGCAAAAAUGUAUGAAGACCUGCUCAACUGUAACCCCUUCCUCCCNCAACUGCUCUGUUUAAUAAGUUAAAUUUUUUCCUGCAACUAACUUGGGUGACAUGGAAUGUGGUUACCUGCAUGGUAAGAAGCUCAUUACGAUGAGUUCCAAUUCACCAGUCAUCAUUGGCCUGCAUCAGGAGGUUGCUGAGCAUGGACUGCAGCUUGUCGCCUCUGACGUUCCCGCAAGUAAAGAACAGUCAAGAGGCAAGCAAAGAGGGUUAAUAUUGUUGCAUUGCCUUCGUCAAGGAUUACAUCCUCCACCCAUUCCUCGAUCCUUGGGUAAACCUC